GAUGAAGAACGUAGUGAAAUGCGAUAAGUAAUGUGAAUUGCAGAAUUCCGUGAAUCAUCGAAUCUUUGAACGCACAUUGCGCCCGCCAGCACUCUGGCGGGCAUGCCUGUUCGAGCGUCAUUUCAACCAUCAAGCCCCCAGGGGCUUGUGCUGGGGCCCUGCGGCUGCCCGCAGGCCCUGAAAACCAGUGGCGGGCUCGCUAGUCACACCGAGCGCAGUAGCACAUCUCGCUCAGGGCGUGCGGCGGGCUCCUGCCGUGAAACCCCCCACUGUAACCCCAAAGGUUGACCUCGGAUCAGGUAGGAAUACCCGCUGAACUUAAGCAUAUCAAUAAGCGGAGGA
Molecule: unclassified non-coding RNA, 342 nt
Filed under: soil metagenome
Description: partial contains 5.8S ribosomal RNA, internal transcribed spacer 2, and large subunit ribosomal RNA
Rfam family: 5.8S ribosomal RNA (bases 1-120)
Source: RNAcentral